GUAGUCCACGCCGUAAACGAUGAAUACUAGGUGUAGGGGUUGUCAUGACCUCUGUGCCGCCGCUAACGCAUUAAGUAUUCCGCCUGGGGAGUACGGUCGCAAGAUUAAAACUCAAAGGAAUUGACGGGGGCCCGCACAAGCAGCGGAGCAUGUGGUUUAAUUCGAAGCAACGCGAAGAACCUUACCUAGACUUGACAUCUCCUGCAUUACUCUUAAUCGAGGAAAGUCCCUUCGGGGACAGGAAGACAGGUGGUGCAUGGUUGUCGUCAGCUCGUGUCGUGAGAUGUUGGGUUGAAGUCCCCGCAACGAGCGCAACCUUAUUGUUAGUUGCUACCAUUUAGUUGAGCACUCUAGCGAGACUGCCCAGGGGUUAACCGGGAGGAAGGUGGGGAUGACGUCAAAUCAUCAUGCCCCUUAUGUCUAGGGCUACACACGUGCUACAAUGGCUGGUACAGAGAGAUGCGAAACCGCGAGGUGGAGCUAAACUUCAAAAUCCAGUCUCAGUUCGGAUUGUAGGCUGAAACUCGCCUACAUGAAGCUGGAGUUGCUAGUAAUCGCGAAUCAGCAUGUCG
RNAcentral lists this ribosomal RNA (572 nucleotides) under uncultured bacterium. Its description in RNAcentral is "bacterial SSU rRNA". It matches the Rfam family "Bacterial small subunit ribosomal RNA", at positions 790 to 1359 of the family's 1533-position model. The record is from RNAcentral.